AGAGUUUGAUCAUGGCUCAGAAUCAACGCUGGCGGCGCGCUUAACGCAUGCAAGUCGAACGAGAAAGUGGAGCAAUCCAUGAGUACAGUGGCGUACGGGUGAGUAACACGUGGGUAAUCUACCUUUUAGUGUGGAAUAACCCUGGGAAACCGGGGCUAAUACCGCAUAAUCUCGAGAGAGGAAAGUCGCAAGACGCUGAAAGAGGAGCCCGCGGCCGAUUAGCUAGUUGGCAGGGUAAGAGCCUACCAAGGCAGAGAUCGGUAGCCGGCCUGAGAGGGCACACGGCCACACUGGCACUGAAACACGGGCCAGACUCCUACGGGAGGCAGCAGUGGGGAAUCUUGCACAAUGGGGGCAACCCUGAUGCAGCGACGCCGCGUGAGCGAUGAAGCCCUUCGGGGUGUAAAGCUCUUUCGUCAGGGACGAUAAUGACGGUACCGGGAGAAGCAGCUGCGGCUAACUACGUGCCAGCAGCCGCGGUAAUACGUAGGCAGCGAGCGUUGUUCGGAGUUACUGGGCGUAAAGGGUGUGUAGGCGGUUGUUUAAGUUUGGUGUGAAAUCUCCCGGCUCAACUGGGAGGGUGCGCCGAAUACUGAAUGACUAGAGUGCGGGAGAGGAAAGUGGAAUUCCUGGUGUAGCGGUGAAAUGCGUAGAUAUCAGGAGGAACACCGGUGGUGUAGACGGCUUUCUGGACCGUAACUGACGCUGAGACACAAAAGCGUGGGUAGCAAACAGGAUUAGAUACCCUAGUAGUCC
This 756-nucleotide ribosomal RNA is filed under the name uncultured bacterium. Its description in RNAcentral is "bacterial SSU rRNA". It matches the Rfam family "Bacterial small subunit ribosomal RNA", at positions 8 to 796 of the family's 1533-position model. The record is from RNAcentral.